This 700-nucleotide ribosomal RNA is filed under the name uncultured organism. Its description in RNAcentral is "SSU rRNA". It matches the Rfam family "Eukaryotic small subunit ribosomal RNA", at positions 577 to 1290 of the family's 1831-position model. The record is from RNAcentral.
CGGUAAUUCCAGCUCCAAUAGCGUAUAUUUAAGUUGUUGCAGUUAAAAAGCUCGUAGUUGGACCUUGGACCUGGACAGGCGGUCCGCCUCACGGCGAGUACUGUCUUGCUGGGUCUUUCCUCUUGGUGAUCUGUUGUUUCGGCAGCAGGGAACCAGGACCUUUACUUUGAAAAAAUUAGAGUGUUCAAAGCAGGCUCGACGCCGGAAUAUAUUAGCAUGGAAUAAUAAAAUAGGACGUGCGGUUCUAUUUUGUUGGUUUUUGGAAUCGCCGUAAUGAUUAAUAGGGACAGUUGGGGGCAUUAGUACUCACAUGCUAGAGGUGAAAUUCUUGGAUUUUGUGAAGACUAACUUCUGCGAAAGCAUUUGCCAAGGAUGUUUUCAUUAAUCAAGAACGAAGGUUAGGGUAUCGAAAACGAUUAGAUACCGUUGUAGUCUUAACAGUAAACUAUGCCGACUAGGGAUCGGUCGAUGUUAUCUUUUUGACUCGAUCGGCACCUUACGAGAAAUCAAAGUUUUUGGGUUCUGGGGGGAGUAUGGUCGCAAGACUGAAACUUAAAGAAAUUGACGGAAGGGCACCACCAGGAGUGGAGCCUGCGGUUUAAUUUGAUUCAACACGGGGAAACUCACCAGGUCCAGACAUAUGAAGGAUUGACAGAUUGAUAGCUCUUUCUUUGAUUCUAUGGGUGGUGGUGCAUGGCCG